CCUACGGGAGGCAGCAGUGGGGAAUAUUGCACAAUGGGGGAAACCCUGAUGCAGCAACGCCGCGUGAGUGAAGAAGUAUUUCGGUAUGUUAAGCUCCAUCAGCCGGGAAGAAAAUGCCGGUACCUGACUCAGAAGCCCCGGCUAACUACGAGCCAGCAGCCGCGGUAAUACGUAGGGGGCAAGCGUUUUCCGGAUUUACUGGGUGUUAAGGGGGCGUAGGUGGCAUGGUGAGACAGGAGGGAAAACCCAGGGCUCAAAUCCGUGGAUUGCCUUUGAAACUAGCAAGCUUGAGUGCUGGAGGGGUAAGCGGAAUUCGUAGUGUAGCGGUGAAAUGCGUAGAUAUUAGGAGGAACACCGGUGGCGAAGGCGGCUUACUGGACAGAAACUGACGCUGAGGCUCGAAAGCGUGGGGAGCAAACAGGAUUAGAUACCCGGGUAGUC
RNAcentral lists this ribosomal RNA (441 nucleotides) under uncultured bacterium. RNAcentral's name for it is "partial 16S ribosomal RNA". It matches the Rfam family "Bacterial small subunit ribosomal RNA", at positions 338 to 795 of the family's 1533-position model. The record is from RNAcentral.